AAGCUUGCUUCUCUUGAGAGCGGCGGACGGGUGAGUAAUGCCUAGGAAUCUGCCUGGUAGUGGGGGAUAACGUUCGGAAACGGACGCUAAUACCGCAUACGUCCUACGGGAGAAAGCAGGGGACCUUCGGGCCUUGCGCUAUCAGAUGAGCCUAGGUCGGAUUAGCUAGUUGGUGAGGUAAUGGCUCACCAAGGCGACGAUCCGUAACUGGUCUGAGAGGAUGAUCAGUCACACUGGAACUGAGACACGGUCCAGACUCCUACGGGAGGCAGCAGUGGGGAAUAUUGGACAAUGGGCGAAAGCCUGAUCCAGCCAUGCCGCGUGUGUGAAGAAGGUCUUCGGAUUGUAAAGCACUUUAAGUUGGGAGGAAGGGCAGUUACCUAAUACGUGAUUGUUUUGACGUUACCGACAGAAUAAGCACCGGCUAACUCUGUGCCAGCAGCCGCGGUAAUACAGAGGGUGCAAGCGUUAAUCGGAAUUACUGGGCGUAAAGCGCGCGUA
This 501-nucleotide ribosomal RNA is filed under the name Pseudomonas sp. RNAcentral describes it as "bacterial SSU rRNA". It matches the Rfam family "Bacterial small subunit ribosomal RNA", at positions 76 to 573 of the family's 1533-position model. Lineage: Bacteria; Pseudomonadati; Pseudomonadota; Gammaproteobacteria; Pseudomonadales; Pseudomonadaceae. The record is from RNAcentral.